GGGGCUGUAGCUCAGUCGGGAGAGCAUUUCCUUUGCAAGGAAGGGGUCAGGGGUUCGAGUCCCCUCAGCUCCACCA
RNAcentral lists this transfer RNA (76 nucleotides) under Dehalococcoidales bacterium. RNAcentral describes it as "tRNA-Ala". It matches the Rfam family "tRNA". From Rfam's summary of the family: Transfer RNA (tRNA) molecules are approximately 80 nucleotides in length. Their secondary structure includes four short double-helical elements and three loops (D, anti-codon, and T loops). Further hydrogen bonds mediate the characteristic L-shaped molecular structure. tRNAs have two regions of fundamental functional importance: the anti-codon, which is responsible for specific mRNA codon recognition, and the 3' end, to which the tRNAs corresponding amino acid is attached (by aminoacyl-tRNA synthetases). tRNAs cope with the degeneracy of the genetic code in two manners: having more than one tRNA (with a specific anti-codon) for a particular amino acid; and 'wobble' base-pairing, i.e. permitting non-standard base-pairing at the 3rd anti-codon position. The record is from RNAcentral. Lineage: Bacteria; Bacillati; Chloroflexota; Dehalococcoidia; Dehalococcoidales.